UCCACACCAGUCCCAGGGGUAAUGAUGAUGAUGUCUUGUCCUUGACCUUCUUAGUGAAAAUCAAGCUGCUGUUUUCCAUUCAAUGAAACCUGCCUUUUCUGGUUUUGCCAGAAUGAAAGCUGUGAGCUGUGAUGCAUUACUAAAACGGCUGGGACGCUAACCAAGCAGGUGAACUGAAAAGCACAGGCAGAGGAACAGGUGAGCUCUCUUGCCAGCCAUCUGGUGCAUCUGUGAUCUCCAAAAGAGCCGUGCAACAAGUGUCUGAGCUCGCUGUAUGUGACCUGGUACGGCUGCACAGCCAGGAGAAACAAGUAUCCGGCCAUCAGGUGUGA
Molecule: long non-coding RNA, 332 nt
Filed under: Anas platyrhynchos platyrhynchos (common mallard)
Lineage: Eukaryota; Metazoa; Chordata; Aves; Anseriformes; Anatidae
Description: lncRNA (ENSAPLG00000021377.1)
Source: RNAcentral